This 274-nucleotide ribosomal RNA is filed under the name uncultured bacterium. Its description in RNAcentral is "partial 16S ribosomal RNA". It matches the Rfam family "Bacterial small subunit ribosomal RNA", at positions 523 to 796 of the family's 1533-position model. The record is from RNAcentral.
AUACGAAGGGGGCUAGCGUUGUUCGGAAUUACUGGGCGUAAAGCUCGCGUAGGCGGACUGAUCAGUUGGGGGUGAAAUCCCAGGGCUUAACCCUGGAACUGCCUCCAAUACUGUCAGUCUUGAGUUCGGGAGAGGUGAGUGGAAUUCCUAGUGUAGAGGUGAAAGUCGUAGAUAUUAGGAAGAACACCAGUGGCGAAGGCGGCUCACUGGCCCGAUACUGACGCUGAGGCGCGAAAGCGUGGGGAGCAAACAGGAUUAGAAACCCCAGUAGUCC